GACAGAGGAUGCAAGCGUUAUCCGGAAUGAUUGGGCGUAAAGCGUCUGUAGGUGGCUUUUCAAGUCCGCCGUCAAAUCCCAGGGCUCAACCCUGGACAGGCGGUGGAAACUACCAAGCUGGAGUAUGGUAGGGGCAGAGGGAAUUUCCGGUGGAGCGGUGAAAUGCGCAGAUAUCAGGAGGAACACCGGUGGCGAAGGCGGGUCUCUGGGCCGAUACUGACGCUGAGGAGCGAAAGCGUGGGGAGCGAACAGG
This 253-nucleotide ribosomal RNA is filed under the name uncultured bacterium. RNAcentral describes it as "partial 16S ribosomal RNA". It matches the Rfam family "Bacterial small subunit ribosomal RNA", at positions 524 to 776 of the family's 1533-position model. The record is from RNAcentral.